RNAcentral lists this unclassified non-coding RNA (243 nucleotides) under Hevea brasiliensis (rubber tree). The record is from RNAcentral. Lineage: Eukaryota; Viridiplantae; Streptophyta; Magnoliopsida; Malpighiales; Euphorbiaceae.
CCGUCGUCGCGCCGGGAGACGUGUUGCAACUGGUUUCCGGCUUGUCAGCCGACGGUGCCGCGGUCUGUGCGAAGACUGGCGUGGUUGUGAAUACGCCCACAAGAAUCGCUGCUGUGAAACGAUUAAUCAUUUUGAGGCUCCUGUAGGCGGAAAAUAUCAAGCAUCCGAACGUGGCAAACGCCCUGGUACCGCUAUUGUUCCGUCGCAACCGCCGCGGCGCACUGACGCGAUGCCUUUAUUGAG